Acomys russatus (golden spiny mouse) is the source of this 106-nucleotide small nuclear RNA. The record is from RefSeq and is a predicted model, not a curated record. NCBI's taxonomy places the organism in Eukaryota, Metazoa, Chordata, Mammalia, Rodentia, Muridae.
AUGCUCACUUCAGCAGCACAUACACUUAAAUUGGAAUGAUAUAAAGAAAAUUAGCAUGGUCCCUGAAAAGGAUGACAUGAGACAUUGGGAAGUAUCAUUAAUAUUC